ACUCCUACGGGAGGCAGCAGUGGGGAAUAUUGCACAAUGGGCGCAAGCCUGAUGCAGCCAUGCCGCGUGUGUGAAGAAGGCCUUCGGGUUGUAAAGCACUUUCAGUUGUGAGGAAGGUGGUGUCGUUAAUAGCGGCAUCAUUUGACGUUAGCAACAGAAGAAGCACCGGCUAACUCCGUGCCAGCAGCCGCGGUAAUACGGAGGGUGCGAGCGUUAAUCGGAAUUACUGGGCGUAAAGCGCAUGCAGGUGGUUUGUUAAGUCAGAUGUGAAAGCCCGGGGCUCAACCUCGGAACUGCAUUUGAAACUGGCAGACUAGAGUACUGUAGAGGGGGGUAGAAUUUCAGGUGUAGCGGUGAAAUGCGUAGAGAUCUGAAGGAAUACCGGUGGCGAAGGCGGCCCCCUGGGACAGAUACUGACACUCAGAUGCGAAAGCGU
This 436-nucleotide ribosomal RNA is filed under the name uncultured bacterium. RNAcentral describes it as "bacterial SSU rRNA". It matches the Rfam family "Bacterial small subunit ribosomal RNA", at positions 335 to 762 of the family's 1533-position model. The record is from RNAcentral.